UACAGAGGGUGCAAGCGUUGUUCGGAAUUAUUGGGCGUAAAGCGCGUGUAGGCGGCUUUGCAAGUCGGGUGUGAAAGCCCUCAGCUCAACUGAGGAAGUGCGCCCGAAACUGCAGAGCUUGAGUGCCGGAGAGGGUGGCGGAAUUCCCAGUGUAGCGGUGAAAUGCGUAGAUACUGGGAGGAACACCGGUGGCGAAGGCGGCUACCUGGACCGGUUCUGACGCUGAUGCGCGAAAGCGUGGGUAGCAAACAGG
RNAcentral lists this ribosomal RNA (253 nucleotides) under uncultured bacterium. RNAcentral describes it as "partial 16S ribosomal RNA". It matches the Rfam family "Bacterial small subunit ribosomal RNA", at positions 524 to 776 of the family's 1533-position model. The record is from RNAcentral.